UACGUAGGGGGCGAGCGUUGUCCGGAUUUAUUGGGCGUAAAGAGCUCGUAGGCGGUUCGAUAAGUCGGACGUGAAAUCUCCACGCUCAACGUGGAGGGGCCGUUCGAUACUGUCGUGACUCGAGUCCGGUAGGGGAGUGUGGAAUUCCCGGUGUAGCGGUGAAAUGCGCAGAGAUCGGGAGGAACACCCGUAGCGAAGGGCGGCCGACCUGGACCACACCGUGACGCUGACGG
Molecule: ribosomal RNA, 233 nt
Filed under: uncultured bacterium
Lineage: Bacteria
Description: partial 16S ribosomal RNA
Rfam family: Bacterial small subunit ribosomal RNA
Source: RNAcentral